This 131-nucleotide small RNA is filed under the name Salmonella enterica. RNAcentral describes it as "RtT sRNA". It matches the Rfam family "RtT RNA". Rfam says of the family: This family represents a bacterial cis-regulatory element known as RtT RNA. The exact function of RtT is unknown although it is thought that it may be involved in changing the cellular response in relation to amino acid starvation. The record is from RNAcentral. Lineage: Bacteria; Pseudomonadati; Pseudomonadota; Gammaproteobacteria; Enterobacterales; Enterobacteriaceae.
AUAUCUCUCUGUACGGGAAGGAUGAGAAGCUUCGACUAAGGUUCGAUUCGAUCGCAGCGAGAAAGCGUUGCCGCAGGCAACGACCCGAAGGGCGAAGCGCGCAGCGCUGAGUAAUCCUUCCCCCACCACCA